GACGUAGGAGGCGAGCGUUAUCCGGAUUCACUGGGCGUAAAGCGCAUGUAGGCGGUUGGACAAGUCGUGUGUUAAAGCCCCUGGCUCAACUGGGGGAGGUCAUGCGAGACUGUGCGACUUGAGGGCAAGAGAGGCACGUGGAACUCCCGGUGUAGCGGUGGAAUGCGUAGAGAUUGGAAAGAACACCGAUGGCGAAGGCACUUUACUGGGCUAUUACUAACACUCAGAGACGAAAGCUAGGGUAGCAAAUGGG
This 253-nucleotide ribosomal RNA is filed under the name uncultured bacterium. Its description in RNAcentral is "partial 16S ribosomal RNA". It matches the Rfam family "Bacterial small subunit ribosomal RNA", at positions 524 to 776 of the family's 1533-position model. The record is from RNAcentral.